Long non-coding RNA from Andrographis paniculata, 668 nucleotides. RefSeq lists it as uncharacterized. The record is from RefSeq and is a predicted model, not a curated record. Lineage: Eukaryota; Viridiplantae; Streptophyta; Magnoliopsida; Lamiales; Acanthaceae. The transcript is spliced from 4 exons.
GCAAUAUUUCUCCUAUACCCGUUAAGCUCUCUCACGUCAGAUCGGAAGCAACUUCCCGUCCGAUCGCUCAGCUUUUAGCCGGUGUGGAAAUUUCAUUUCUCUCCCCUUCUUCCAUUGUCUCGCCUGUUCUCUGUCAUCGUUUGUCGUUCGAUUCUGUUUAAAAACUCCCAAGGGCAGUUACUGAUUCUCUGUCGUUGGCGGUCGCAUGAUUAGAUUGAAGAACUUCCGAGAGCUGUCACAGUCGAUCUCCAAAUUGACACCACUCUCUGGUUGACCCGAGUCCACGAUCGCCGUCCUUGGAUCGUCCUCCGUAGUGGCUGGUGGUCUUUGUUCACCGGUUCCGAUGGACAUAGAGCAAAGUAGUAUGAUAUUAUACAUCAUUUGUUCGUAUGAAGGUGAGCAUCGUGUAAUUGGUGUAGAAGAUGGCAAAAAGCUGCGGAUCUUUACAUGAAUCUAUCAAAAAAAGGGAAUAAGUUUGGUGUUGAUAUCCUGGGAAAAAAUAUUCUGGUGAUUGAUAUAAGUAACGUGUUGGAUUGCCUACAACCUUACUUUUUCAGAAACAUCAUGCGAAAGUGACAAUUCUUCAACCCCUACUAAAAAUCCAGAACAAAUUUUUCAUGAAGCUGAUAUCUUAAUUGCAGCUACAGAAGUACCCAAUUUGGUCUGUG